ACCCGUUGAUCCUGCGGGAGAUCGCUGCUAUUUGGAUUCGACUAAGCCAUGCAAGUCUAGCCUCGCAAGAGACUGGCUACUGCUCAGUAACACGUCGAUAAUCUGCCCUUAAGUCUGGAAUAACCUUGGGAAACUGAGGAUAAGACCGGAUAGGAAAAUAAUUCUGGAAGGAAUAUUAUCUUAAAGGUAACGCUUAAGGAUGAGUCGGCGGCGGAUUAGGCUGUUGGUGAGGUAAAGGCUCACCAAACCAAAGAUCCGUACGGGCUCUGAGAGGAGUAGCCCGGAGAAGGGCACUGAGAUACAGGCCCUAGCCCUACGGGGUGCAGCAGGCGCGAAACCUUUACAAUGCACGCAAGUGUGAUAAGGGAAUCCAAAGUGCUAUACAUACGUAUGGCUUUUGCCAAGAGUAAAUAUCUUGGAGAAUAAGUGGUGGGAAAGACUGGUGCCAGCCGCCGCGGUAACACCAGCGCCACAAGUGGGAAUCGUGUUUAUUUGGCCUAAAGCGUCCGUAGCUGGUUCAGUAAAUCUUUUGUGAAAUUGUUGGGCUCAACCCAACAGCGUGCGGGAGAGACUGCUGGACUAGGGACCGGGAGGAGUCAGAGGUAUGCUGAGGGAGCGGUAAAAUGCUAUAAUCCUCGGUAGACCACCUGUGGCGAAGGCGUCUGACUAGAACGGGUCCGACAGUGAGGGACGAAAGCCAGGGGAGCAAACCGGAUUAGAUACCCGAGUAGUCCUGGCUGUAAACACUGCGAGCUAGGUGUCGCAUAUUCUCCGUGAAUGUGCGGUGUCGAAGCGAAGGCGUUAAGCUCGCCGCCUGGGAAGUAUGGUCGCAAGACUGAAACUUAAAGGAAUUGGCGGGGGAGCACUACAAGGGGUGCGGCGUGCGGUUUAAUCUAACUCCACACAGAGAAUCUCACCAGAAGCGACGGCAGGAUGAAGGUCAGUCUAAAGGGCUUACCUGACGAGCCGAGAGGUAGUGCAUGGCCGCCGUCAGCUCGUGCCGUAAGGUGCCCUGUUAAGUCAGGCAACGAGCGAGACCUGCAUCCACAAUUGCUAACGACUCAUUUUGAGAAUUGAGCACAUUGUGGGGACUGCCUUGGAAACAAGGAGGAAGGUGCAGGCAACGGUAGGUCUGUAUGCUCCGAAUCUUCUGGGCUACACGCGCGCAACAAUGGUGCAGACAAUGGGCUGCAACUCCGAAAGGAGAAGCUAAACCUCGAAACUGCAUCUUAGUCCGGAUUGAGGUUUGUAACUCAGCCUCAUGACGCUGGAAUCCCUAGUAAUCGAAUAUCAUCAGUGUUCGGUGAAUAUGUCCCUGCUCCUUGCACACACCGCCCGUCAAACCACCCGAGUAGGGUCUAGAUGAGGCUUAAUUUUUAAUUAAAUCGAAUCUAAGCUUUGCGAGGAGGGUUAAGUCGUCACAAGGUA
RNAcentral lists this ribosomal RNA (1428 nucleotides) under metagenome. RNAcentral's name for it is "bacterial SSU rRNA". It matches the Rfam family "Archaeal small subunit ribosomal RNA". The record is from RNAcentral.